CAUGGAAUGUCAGGGUAACCCAUUUCUCUUACCUCUGCCAUAUUUGAAGCAGGUAUUGAAGAGAAGAAAGAGGAGAACUUGUCCAUAGCCCUCCUGUCUGUGGCAAUGCUCCUACCCAGGAGCUGGAGCAUGGAGGGCACUGGGCACAGGAGAGACAAGCCAGGAGAAUACAGCAAGAAGGCCACCAUGUGCAAACCAGGAAGAAAGCCUUCUCUAACAGCCUGGCCACUCAGCACCCUGAUCUUGAACUUCCAGCCUCCCAAACCGUCUUCCAGUGUGGCAUGGCUAUGACGCUUGUAGCUUACUCAAUGUCCCUAAAUAUCCCCCAAAAUAUGGGAACCUGAGAGUGUUCUUCGUAGAAUUCAUGAAUCUCCCCUGGAAUUUUAUUCCACAGAUUCAGUUUUGAGACUUUUUAUCCUUUUGAUUUGAUUGCUCCUGGAGCCCUACCCUGAGCUCUGAGUGAAUGUAUUUAUCUUAGUUUGUCUAGAAAGGCACUCUGGAAUCUGCAGUGGGAACUUGAUGAUAGAUGGAUCAUUGAAACUGGCUUUUAAAAGUGACAUUUUGGUUAAAAGUCAUCUCAAAAAAGAAAAACAGCUUUUAGAAAGUGUAUAUUCAAUAAAAUUCCAGAAGCCGGCCCUGGUGGGCUGUCCCUGAAUCUGGCUCUGGCAGUGGGUUUGAAAUUCUCCAGCCU
Long non-coding RNA from Homo sapiens (human), 691 nucleotides. RefSeq lists it as uncharacterized. The transcript is spliced from 3 exons. The record is from RefSeq and is a predicted model, not a curated record. Lineage: Eukaryota; Metazoa; Chordata; Mammalia; Primates; Hominidae.